UCCUACGGGGGGCAGCAGUGAGGAAUAUUGGUCAAUGGUCGGGAGAUUGAACCAGCCAAGCCGCGUGAGGGAUGAAGGUACAGAGUAUCGUAAACCUCUUUUGUCAGGGAACAAAGGCGGGGACGUGUCCCCGGAUGAGUGUACCUGAAGAAAAAGCAUCGGCUAACUCCGUGCCAGCAGCCGCGGUAAUACGGAGGAUGCGAGCGUUAUCCGGAUUUAUUGGGUUUAAAGGGUGCGCAGGCGGUCUUUUAAGUCAGCGGUCAAAGCCCGGGGCUCAACCCCGGCCCGCCGUUGAAACUGGCAGC
RNAcentral lists this ribosomal RNA (305 nucleotides) under uncultured bacterium. RNAcentral describes it as "bacterial SSU rRNA". It matches the Rfam family "Bacterial small subunit ribosomal RNA", at positions 337 to 640 of the family's 1533-position model. The record is from RNAcentral.